UACGUAGGGGGCUAGCGUUGUCCGGAAUCAUUGGGCGUAAAGCGCGCGUAGGCGGCCCGGUAAGUCCGCUCUGAAAGUCCAGGGCUCAACCCUGGAAAGCGGGUGGAUACUGCCGGGCUAGAGUCCGGAAGAGGCGAGUGGAAUUCCUGGUGUAGCGGUGGAAUGCGCAGAUAUCAGGAAGAACACCCGUGGCGAAAGCGGCUCUCUGGAACGGUACUGACGCUGAGACGCGAAAGCGUGGGGAGCGAACAGG
Molecule: ribosomal RNA, 253 nt
Filed under: uncultured bacterium
Lineage: Bacteria
Description: partial 16S ribosomal RNA
Rfam family: Bacterial small subunit ribosomal RNA
Source: RNAcentral